CGAUCCAACUGGGAUUGCCCUAGUAACGGCGAGUGAAGCGGCAACAGCUCAAAUUUGAAAUCUGGCCCUUUCAGGGUCCGAGUUGUAAUUUGCAGAGGGCGCUUUGGCUAUGGUAGCGGUCUAAGUUCCUUGGAACAGGACGUCACAGAGGGUGAGAAUCCCGUACGUGGCCGCCCACCUUUGCCGUGUAAAGCCCCUUCGACGAGUCGAGUUGUUUGGGAAUGCAGCUCUAAAUGGGAGGUAAAUUUCUUCUAAAGCUAAAUACCGGCCAGAGACCGAUAGCGCACAAGUAGAGUGAUCGAAAGAUGAAAAGCACUUUGGAAAGAGAGUCAAAUAGCACGUGAAAUUGUUGAAAGGGAAGCGCUUGCAGUCAGACUUGCCCGCAGUUGCUCACCCCGGCUCCCGCCGGGGGCACUCUUCUGCGGGCAGGCCAGCAUCAGUUUGGGCGACCGGAUAAAGGCCUCUGUCAUGUAUCUUCCUUCGGGAUGACCUUAUAGGGGAGGUGUAAUGCGGCCAGCCCGGACUGAGGUCCGCGCUUUUGCUAGGAUGCUGGCGUAAUGGCUGUAAGCGGCCCGUCUUGAAACACGGACCAAGGAGUCUAACAUCUAUGCGAGUGUUUGGGUGUCAAGCCCGGGCGCGCAAUGAAAGUGAACGGAGGUGGGAACCCUCGGGUGCACCAUCGACCGAUCCUGAUGUCUUCGGAUGGAUUUGAGUAAGAGCAUAGCUGUUGGGACCCGAAAGAUGGUGAACUAUGCUUGAAUAGGGUGAAGCCAGAGGAAACUCUGGUGGAGGCUCGCAGCGGUUCUGACGUGCAAAUCGAUCGUCAAAUUUGGGCAUAGGGGCGAAAGACUAAUCG
Molecule: ribosomal RNA, 856 nt
Filed under: Pseudobambusicola thailandica
Lineage: Eukaryota; Fungi; Ascomycota; Dothideomycetes; Pleosporales; Sulcatisporaceae
Description: eukaryotic LSU rRNA
Rfam family: Eukaryotic large subunit ribosomal RNA
Source: RNAcentral